CCCUACGGGGGGCAGCAGUGGGGAAUAUUGCACAAUGGGGGAAACCCUGAUGCAGCAACGCCGCGUGAAGGAAGACGGUUUUCGGAUUGUAAACUUCUGUUCUUAGUGAAGAAGAAUGACGGUAGCUAAGGAGCAAGCCACGGCUAACUACGUGCCAGCAGCCGCGGUAAUACGUAGGUGGCAAGCGUUGUCCGGAAUUACUGGGUGUAAAGGGUGCGUAGGCGGAUUUUUAAGUCAGCGGUAAAAUGUCCGGGCUCAACCCGGGCCGGCCGUUGAAACUGGGGAUCUUGAGUGGGCGAGAAGUA
RNAcentral lists this ribosomal RNA (305 nucleotides) under uncultured bacterium. RNAcentral's name for it is "bacterial SSU rRNA". It matches the Rfam family "Bacterial small subunit ribosomal RNA", at positions 337 to 659 of the family's 1533-position model. The record is from RNAcentral.